GCUGAGGUAGCUCAGCUGGUAGAGCAACUGAUUCGUAAUCAGUAGGUCGGGGGUUCAAGUCCUCUUCUCAGCA
This 73-nucleotide transfer RNA is filed under the name Holosporales bacterium. Its description in RNAcentral is "tRNA-Thr". It matches the Rfam family "tRNA". From Rfam's summary of the family: Transfer RNA (tRNA) molecules are approximately 80 nucleotides in length. Their secondary structure includes four short double-helical elements and three loops (D, anti-codon, and T loops). The record is from RNAcentral. Lineage: Bacteria; Pseudomonadati; Pseudomonadota; Alphaproteobacteria; Holosporales.